GUGCGGGACUCCCUCAUGCAGCCCGUGAGGAAGGUGCAGUCGGCCACACACUUCAAAAAGGUGAGUGCCUGCGGCCACUGCUGAGAAAAUCUCAUAGUAAGAGCGGGAUGUUCGUUUUUUUCCCCAGCUCCUGGUCCUGCUCCCCGGCUGCUCAGGUGACAGUCUCUGAGGCCUCCUGGAGAGCCGAGGGCCAGUGCCAUGGGGGCUGCACCCACUGUCCCCUCCCUGCAGCUCUUCUGGAGUGCAGCCAUCUCAGGGUGUGUGAAAGAGGACAGGGCCACUUUACUGUCUUAACCCUGCUGCAGCCUCCUCCGUCAGCACUGUGUGCUCUUGUGCGGGGUGGACACCAAAUCAGUGUUUGGAAAGUGUUGGAUAUAAAAUGACCAGGAAGACCUGUCUAUUCAUUCAGCAGAUUUCUGCUGAGUGUUUGCUGUGGGUUCUCUCGUGUGCCCGGCCUUGUCCUAAGUGCUGGGAAGAUAUGAGCGACCAACAGACAAAAACCUUACGCCUUCCGUUCUUGGUGGGGAGACAGUCAACACAGUCAGUGAGUUUCUCAGAGGAGGAUGGGGAUGGAGCAGGGUUAGGAGAGAGGUGUCUCGGGCGUGGAGGGAAGGGCAGAUGGCACUGGGGUGAUGCCUGAGACAGGAGGUGAAGGGGUGAGGGAAUGAGCCUUGUGGACAUUGGGAGAACGUUCUGCCAAGGCGGCGGACUUCAGUUGGAAAACCACUUUGUGUUCAUCUGUUUUCAUGCUGCUGAUAAAGACAUACCCGAGACUGGGAAGAAAAAGAGGUUGAAUUGGCCUCACAGUUCCACAUGGCUGGGGAGGCCUCAGAAUCAUGGUAGGAGACCAAAGGCACUUCUUACAUGCUGGUGGCAAGAGAAAAUGAAGAAGCAAAAGUGGAAACCCCUGAUAAACCCAUCACAUCUCGUGAGACUUCACCAUCACAAGAAUAGCACGGGAAACACCAGCCCCCGUGAUUCAGUUACCUCCCCCUGGGUCCCUCCCACAACAUGUGGGAAUUCUAGGAGAUACAGUUCAAGUUGAAAUGUGGGUGGGGGCACAGCCAAACCAUAUCACACUUUUAAUGUCACUGUAUUCCUGGUGAGACGUGACAGUGUUAAUGAGGAAGACAUCAAGGCAUUGGGGCUACAGAUUGCCAGAAUUGCAUGCAAAUCAUGAGUCGCUGGGACCACCCAGCCCGAGUUCUGAAGGAGCCCGUCCUCCUCAGAUGCUAGGGACCCAGAGAGCGUUCUCUUUGGGACUUCCUUAGAGACCGGAGGGGUCCAGCCCCUCUGACACUGAGGGGCAGCUGCCCCAGUCAGAUCCAUUUGGUUUCAGGUCUGUGGCCCCUCUCGCACCAACCCCAGCAUGAUGAUUGAUGACCUCCUGACUCCGUGCUCACCAGGGGACCCAGGAGCCAUGGAGAUGACUUGGAUGGAUGUCCCUGGGGACAAACUCUUAGAGCCUGUGGUUUGCAUGUCGGACAUGCUGCGGUCUCUGGCCACCACCCGGCCCACGGUGAAUGCAGAUGACCUCCUGAAAGUGAAGAAAUUCUCAGAGGACUUUGGGCAAGAGAGUUAAAAGCUGCUUCACUUGGGCAAUGGUGAAGGUGGGAGGUUGACUGGGGCAAAUCCAGGCACUCCCCAUGUCAACAGCCAGACAGGGCUCCAGGGCUUGUCCCAAAGUCAAUACAGAGUCCCCUCUGCUGUCUGGCUGCCUGCCAGGGAGCCAGAAGGAAGGGCCUUGCAGCCACAGAGACACUCCGCCGCCCCGGGGCACACAGUGGACACUGGCUCUUCCUACUUCCUCCUCUCCUGGAUGUUCAGCAGCAGCUUCUGCCCCCCCGCCCUUUUUUUUCCAUCUUUUGUUCCCCUAAAUUAAUGCUGCUUGGAUUUUCAUCUUGUUUAUAAAGAUAAAAUCACCUGGAAGUGUCAAGGUGUCGGGGGGGGAGGGUGGGGGAAGCAGCCGUGCUGCCAGGUCACCCAGACCUCCAGACAGCCGGCUAGCCCCACUGCCUGUUCCUUUUAUGCCCAAGUUUUGCUCCUUGAGAGCAGAUUGGCUGAUGCCCCUGCAACCCCAGCCCAAGCUCUGCCUCAAAGACCGAGUGACAUAAGCCAUUCCCACCCUUCUAGGUUCGCAUCCAGGGCUGUGUCUUCCUUGGGGGAGGAGAUGGUGUCGUUUAGAUCAGGGGAAGGCAGUCAGGCGGGUGUUCACCACUGCCUUUUCUUCCUCUGAGUGUGAGAACACUGAACCCAGCCACUGCCCCAGGUCCCUGUCCUGGAAAUGGUCUAAUAAAUCCUUUUCCCUUCUUGAGCUACUC
RNAcentral lists this small RNA (2321 nucleotides) under Pongo abelii (Sumatran orangutan). Its description in RNAcentral is "retained intron". The record is from RNAcentral. Lineage: Eukaryota; Metazoa; Chordata; Mammalia; Primates; Hominidae.